RNAcentral lists this ribosomal RNA (467 nucleotides) under uncultured bacterium. Its description in RNAcentral is "partial 16S ribosomal RNA". It matches the Rfam family "Bacterial small subunit ribosomal RNA", at positions 28 to 507 of the family's 1533-position model. The record is from RNAcentral.
GACGAACGCUGGCGGCGUGCUUAACACAUGCAAGUCGAACGGAAAGGCCCCAGCUUGCUGGAGUACUCGAGUGGCGAACGGGUGAGUAACACGUGGGUAACCUGCCCUGCACUCUGGGAUAAGCCUGGGAAACUGGGUCUAAUACUGGAUAUGACCUUUCUCCUUAUGGGGUUUGGUGGAAAGUUUUUCGGUGUAGGAUGAGCCCGCGGCCUAUCAGCUUGUUGGUGGGGUGAUGGCCUACCAAGGCGACGACGGGUAGCCGGCCUGAGAGGGUGAUCGGCCACAUUGGGACUGAGAUACGGCGCAGACUCCUACGGGAGGCAGCAGUGGGGAAUAUUGCACAAUGGGCGGAAGCCUGAUGCAGCGACGCCGCGUGAGGGAUGACGGCCUUCGGGUUGUAAACCGCUUUCAGCAGGGACGAAGCGUAAGUGACGGUACCUGCAGAAGAAGCACCGGCUAACUAUGUG